GGUGAACGCUGGCGGUAGGCCUAACACAUGCAAGUCGAACGGCAGCACAGUAAGAGCUUGCUCUUACGGGUGGCGAGUGGCGGACGGGUGAGGAAUACAUCGGAAUCUACUUUUUCGUGGGGGAUGACGUAGGGAAACUUACGCUAAUACCGCAUACGACCUACGGGUGAAAGCAGGGGAUCUUCGGACCUUGCGCGAUUGAAUGAGCCGAUGUCGGAUUAGCUAGUUGGCGGGGUAAAGGCCCACCAAGGCGACGAUCCGUAGCUGGUCUGAGAGGAUGAUCAGCCACACUGGAACUGAGACACGGUCCAGACUCCUACGGGAGGCAGCAGUGGGGAAUAUUGGACAAUGGGCGCAAGCCUGAUCCAGCCAUACCGCGUGGGUGAAGAAGGCCUUCGGGUUGUAAAGCCCUUUUGUUGGGAAAGAAAAGCAGCAGGUUAAUACCCCGCUGUUCUGACGGUACCCAAAGAGUAAGCACCGGCUAACUUCGUG
RNAcentral lists this ribosomal RNA (492 nucleotides) under uncultured bacterium. Its description in RNAcentral is "partial 16S ribosomal RNA". It matches the Rfam family "Bacterial small subunit ribosomal RNA", at positions 28 to 507 of the family's 1533-position model. The record is from RNAcentral.